GGAAGGGCAAGCCAACUGGCGAUGGCAGCCGCCUCGAAAGCGGUCGAGCGUGACAAACACCUUGACGGGUUCGACUCCCUCUCCUUCCGC
Molecule: transfer RNA, 90 nt
Filed under: Lignipirellula cremea
Lineage: Bacteria; Pseudomonadati; Planctomycetota; Planctomycetia; Pirellulales; Pirellulaceae
Description: Planctomycetes bacterium Pla85_3_4 tRNA-Ser
Source: RNAcentral